RNAcentral lists this non-coding RNA (27 nucleotides) under Rattus norvegicus (Norway rat). The record is from RNAcentral. Lineage: Eukaryota; Metazoa; Chordata; Mammalia; Rodentia; Muridae.
UGAUGUCCCCCAACUGUGAGCUGCAAA